This 1435-nucleotide ribosomal RNA is filed under the name uncultured organism. RNAcentral's name for it is "16S ribosomal RNA". It matches the Rfam family "Bacterial small subunit ribosomal RNA". The record is from RNAcentral.
CAGGCUUAACACAUGCAAGUCGAGGGGCAUCAGGAAGAAAGCUUGCUUUCUUUGCCGGCGACCGGCGCACGGGUGAGUAACACGUAUCCAACCUGCCCUUUACUCGGGGAUAGCCUUUCGAAAGAAAGAUUAAUACCCGAUAGUAUAAUGAUUCCGCAUGGUUUCAUUAUUAAAGGAUUCCGGUAAAGGAUGGGGAUGCGUUCCAUUAGGUUGUUGGUGAGGUAACGGCCCACCAAGCCUUCGAUGGAUAGGGGUUCUGAGAGGAAGGUCCCCCACAUUGGAACUGAGACACGGUCCAAACUCCUACGGGAGGCAGCAGUGAGGAAUAUUGGUCAAUGGGCGCUAGCCUGAACCAGCCAAGUAGCGUGAAGGAUGAAGGCUCUAUGGGUCGUAAACUUCUUUUAUAUAAGAAUAAAGUGCAGUAUGUAUACUGUUUUGUAUGUAUUAUAUGAAUAAGGAUCGGCUAACUCCGUGCCAGCAGCCGCGGUAAUACGGAGGAUCCGAGCGUUAUCCGGAUUUAUUGGGUUUAAAGGGAGCGUAGGUGGACUGGUAAGUCAGUUGUGAAAGUUUGCGGCUCAACCGUAAAAUUGCAGUUGAUACUGUCAGUCUUGAGUACAGUAGAGGUGGGCGGAAUUCGUGGUGUAGCGGUGAAAUGCUUAGAUAUCACGAAGAACUCCGAUUGCGAAGGCAGCUCACUGGACUGCAACUGACACUGAUGCUCGAAAGUGUGGGUAUCAAACAGGAUUAGAUACCCUGGUAGUCCACACAGUAAACGAUGAAUACUCGCUGUUUGCGAUAUACAGUAAGCGGCCAAGCGAAAGCAUUAAGUAUUCCACCUGGGGAGUACGCCGGCAACGGUGAAACUCAAAGGAAUUGACGGGGGCCCGCACAAGCGGAGGAACAUGUGGUUUAAUUCGAUGAUACGCGAGGAACCUUACCCGGGCUUAAAUUGCAGUGGAAUGAUGUGGAAACAUGUCAGUGAGCAAUCACCGCUGUGAAGGUGCUGCAUGGUUGUCGUCAGCUCGUGCCGUGAGGUGUCGGCUUAAGUGCCAUAACGAGCGCAACCCUUAUCUUCAGUUACUAACAGGUCAUGCUGAGGACUCUGGAGAGACUGCCGUCGUAAGAUGUGAGGAAGGUGGGGAUGACGUCAAAUCAGCACGGCCCUUACGUCCGGGGCUACACACGUGUUACAAUGGGGGGUACAGAAGGCAGCUAGCGGGUGACCGUAUGCUAAUCCCAAAAGCCUCUCUCAGUUCGGAUCGAAGUCUGCAACCCGACUUCGUGAAGCUGGAUUCGCUAGUAAUCGCGCAUCAGCCACGGCGCGGUGAAUACGUUCCCGGGCCUUGUACACACCGCCCGUCAAGCCAUGGGAGCCGGGGGUACCUGAAGUACGUAACCGCAAGGAUCGUCCUAGGGUAAAACUGGUGACUGGGGC